RNAcentral lists this ribosomal RNA (207 nucleotides) under uncultured bacterium. RNAcentral describes it as "partial 16S ribosomal RNA". It matches the Rfam family "Bacterial small subunit ribosomal RNA", at positions 568 to 774 of the family's 1533-position model. The record is from RNAcentral.
CGCGUAGGCGGCUUGACAAGUCAGAUGUGAAAUCCCCGAGCUUAACUUGGGAAUUGCAUCUGAAACUGUCGAGCUUGAGUCCUGGAGGGGAUAGUGGAAUUCCCAGUGUAGCGGUGAAAUGCGUAGAUAUUGGGAGGAACACCUGCGGCGAAGGCGGCUAUCUGGACAGUGACUGACGCUGAGGCGCGAAAGCUAGGGGAGCGAACG